This is a non-coding RNA of Erinaceus europaeus (western European hedgehog), 340 nucleotides long. Lineage: Eukaryota; Metazoa; Chordata; Mammalia; Eulipotyphla; Erinaceidae. The record is from Rfam.
GGAUGUGAGGGUGAUCUGGCUGUGAGGUCUGUCACCCCACUGAUCUCCAGGGUUGAUUAGGCUCAUCUGGUUGGUUAGGCAGGUGUCCUCUUCCUCCCUCACUGCUCCAUGUGUGUCCCUCCCCAAGCUUCGCUUUCAGUGAAUAGAGAUGGACUGUUCUUUGGUGGAGGGUAUAUGAGUAGCUGUGCUCCCCUGCUAGAACUUCCAAACAAGCUCUCAAAUUAAAACUCAGUCAUGGUCAGCUUCAAUCUUACCAUGCAAUUAAAAAUAUCAGAUAUGAUCAAAUGAUAAAAAAAAGGAGGCAACAGAUACCAAAUUCAGACUGGCCAUGUGAUUAUUU